RNAcentral lists this ribosomal RNA (467 nucleotides) under Streptococcus intermedius. RNAcentral describes it as "bacterial SSU rRNA". It matches the Rfam family "Bacterial small subunit ribosomal RNA", at positions 28 to 473 of the family's 1533-position model. The record is from RNAcentral. Lineage: Bacteria; Bacillati; Bacillota; Bacilli; Lactobacillales; Streptococcaceae.
GACGAACGCUGGCGGCGUGCCUAAUACAUGCAAGUAGAACGCACAGGAUGCACCGUAGUUUACUACACCGUAUUCUGUGAGUUGCGAACGGGUGAGUAACGCGUAGGUAACCUGCCUGGUAGCGGGGGAUAACUAUUGGAAACGAUAGCUAAUACCGCAUAAGAACAUUUACUGCAUGGUAGAUGUUUAAAAGGUGCAAAUGCAUCACUACCAGAUGGACCUGCGUUGUAUUAGCUAGUAGGUGAGGUAACGGCUCACCUAGGCGACGAUACAUAGCCGACCUGAGAGGGUGAUCGGCCACACUGGGACUGAGACACGGCCCAGACUCCUACGGGAGGCAGCAGUAGGGAAUCUUCGGCAAUGGGGGGAACCCUGACCGAGCAACGCCGCGUGAGUGAAGAAGGUUUUCGGAUCGUAAAGCUCUGUUGUUAAAGGAAGAAACGAGUGUGAGAAAUGGAAAAGUUCAC